ACAUGCAAGUCGAACGGUAACAGGAAGCAGCUUGCUGCUUCGCUGACGAGUGGCGGACGGGUGAGUAAUGUCUGGGGAUCUGCCUGAUGGAGGGGGAUAACUACUGGAAACGGUAGCUAAUACCGCAUAACGUCGCAAGACCAAAGAGGGGGACCUUCGGGCCUCUUGCCAUCAGAUGAACCCAGAUGGGAUUAGCUAGUAGGUGGGGUAACGGCUCACCUAGGCGACGAUCCCUAGCUGGUCUGAGAGGAUGACCAGCCACACUGGAACUGAGACACGGUCCAGACUCCUACGGGAGGCAGCAGUGGGGAAUAUUGCACAAUGGGCGCAAGCCUGAUGCAGCCAUGCCGCGUGUAUGAAGAAGGCCUUCGGGUUGUAAAGUACUUUCAGCGGGGAGGAAGGCGAUGCGGUUAAUAACCGCGUCGAUUGACGUUACCCGCAGAAGAAGCACCGGCUAACUCCGUGCCAGCAGCCGCGGUAAUACGGAGGGUGCAAGCGUUAAUCGGAAUUACUGGGGCGUAAAGCGCACGCAGGCGGUCUGUCAAGUCGGAUGUGAAAUCCCCGGGCUCAACCUGGGAACUGCAUCCGAAACUGGCAGGCUUGAGUCUUGUA
RNAcentral lists this ribosomal RNA (612 nucleotides) under Atlantibacter hermannii. RNAcentral describes it as "bacterial SSU rRNA". It matches the Rfam family "Bacterial small subunit ribosomal RNA", at positions 53 to 653 of the family's 1533-position model. Lineage: Bacteria; Pseudomonadati; Pseudomonadota; Gammaproteobacteria; Enterobacterales; Enterobacteriaceae. The record is from RNAcentral.